Non-coding RNA from Maylandia zebra (zebra mbuna), 223 nucleotides. Lineage: Eukaryota; Metazoa; Chordata; Actinopteri; Cichliformes; Cichlidae. The record is from RefSeq and is a predicted model, not a curated record.
ACCACAACAAAAUACACACCUUUUUUUCUGAUGUAUGGAAGAGAGGCAGUAUUUCCAUCAGAAGUGCCUGCUCAAGUGCCGUGAAGUGGCUUUGGGCUGCAAAAGACACCGGGCGUGUGGAGGCAGUCGUUGGGCCAUACAAAUUGUAUGACUCUUCUUUUCGCACACUGGAGGACAGUGGGUGGCUUUCUGAUGAGGUCAUUGAUGCAUACCUGCACUGCCU